GGGGAAUGGCCUGGCUUGGGCGGGACGCUGGACAUCACCCGGUUCCAAAUCCCUGCCGUGGGCAGCCACUCCUCCCACCGCCCCAGCGUGCUCCAAGCCCCCUCCAUCCUGGCAUUGGACACUCGCAGAGUUAUCCUCCAUGCAAAGUUGCCUGGACACCCUGUUCCAGAGCCUCACCACCCUCACAGCCCACGCAGGAACACCGACACAGCAGAGGAACUGCUGAUGGAGCAGAUGGGGACAAACCCCCAGCACAGACCUGGCUCACAGGCAUCCACCAGCCAGAAAUGGAGAACAACUCUCAGGAGCAAAACCCCUCCACUGCAAGGCCUUGCAUCCUUGUGCUGUGCAGGUUCCUUUGAGAGGGCAGCUCUGCAUCUCAGGAAGCCAAGCUCUGCACCUCCCUUCAGCCCAGCUGGGAUCUCCUGGGGGAAGCCACUGGCUGCAGAUGUGAUUGCUCUGUCACUGAGAUUUCUGCUCCUCAUUGACCCUGCACGUCCUGGUAGGUAACCUGGAAAGGUAACAGCAGAGUCUCUGAUGUUCUCUCUGGGUAUCUAUUUUUUAAGAUGUUUUCUUCCAGGCAUUCAGGAGCUCCUCU
This is a long non-coding RNA of Ficedula albicollis (Collared flycatcher), 598 nucleotides long. RefSeq lists it as uncharacterized. Lineage: Eukaryota; Metazoa; Chordata; Aves; Passeriformes; Muscicapidae. The transcript has 3 exons. The record is from RefSeq and is a predicted model, not a curated record.